GUGCUCUCUUCUCUUCGGCAGCACAUACACUAAAAUCGGAACGAUACACAGAAUAUUAGCAUGGCCCCUGCGCAAGGAUGACACACAAAUUAAUGAAGCGUUCCAUAUUUCU
Tursiops truncatus (common bottlenose dolphin) is the source of this 112-nucleotide small nuclear RNA. Lineage: Eukaryota; Metazoa; Chordata; Mammalia; Artiodactyla; Delphinidae. The record is from Ensembl.